Molecule: ribosomal RNA, 310 nt
Filed under: uncultured diatom
Lineage: Eukaryota; Bacillariophyta
Description: LSU rRNA
Rfam family: Eukaryotic large subunit ribosomal RNA
Source: RNAcentral
GGAAGCGAAGGAAACCAGUGUUUGUUGGUUCAUAUUUCCCUAGCCACUUGUGGUUUGGGCGCUGUGAGCUUGCGUGAGUUUGGGUUGGUUGAUCCCUUUGGAAGAGCGCAGACAGAGUUGAUGUCUGUUGCUAGCACUGGGAUUGACUGAUGCAGACGAAAUGGUUYUCUUUACCCCGUCUUGAAACACGGACCAAGGAGUCUAACAWAUGUGCGAGUACAGGGGUGUCAAACCCCGGUGCGUAAUGAAAGUAACAGUGGUUGGAUUUUUUGCACAAUCCGCCGGCCUCAAUCCCUCGGGAGAACGGUCU